This 429-nucleotide ribosomal RNA is filed under the name Fusobacteriota bacterium. RNAcentral describes it as "Fusobacteria bacterium partial 16S ribosomal RNA". It matches the Rfam family "Bacterial small subunit ribosomal RNA", at positions 355 to 776 of the family's 1533-position model. Lineage: Bacteria; Fusobacteriati; Fusobacteriota. The record is from RNAcentral.
UGGGGAAUCUUCCGCAAUGGACGAAAGUCUGACGGAGCAACGCCGCGUGAGUGAAGACGGCCUUCGGGUUGUAAAGCUCUGUGAUCCGGGACGAAAGAGCCUGAGGUAAAUAGCCUAAGGAAGUGACGGUACCGGAAAAGCAAGCCACGGCUAACUACGUGCCAGCAGCCGCGGUAAUACGUAGGUGGCAAGCGUUGUCCGGAAUUAUUGGGCGUAAAGCGCGCGCAGGCGGCUUACUAAGUCCAUCUUAAAAGUGCGGGGCUUAACCCCGUGAUGGGAUGGAAACUGGAAAGCUGGAGUAUCGGAGAGGAAAGUGGUAUUCCUAGUGUAGCGGUGAAGUGCGUAGAGAUUAGGAAGAACACCGGUGGCGAAGGCGACUUUCUGGACGAAAACUGACGCUGAGGCGCGAAAGCGUGGGGAGCAAACGGG